GAUCCUGGCUCAGAUUGAGCGCUGGCGGAAUGCUUACACAUGCAAGUCGAACGGUAGAGGGGGCAACCCUUGAGAGUGGCGAACGGGUGAGUAAUAUAUCGGAACGUGCCCAGUCGUGGGGGAUAACGUAGCGAAAGUUACGCUAAUACCGCAUACGAUCUAUGGAUGAAAGCGGGGGAUCGCAAGACCUCGCGCGAUUGGAGCGGCCGAUAUCAGAUUAGGUAGUUGGUGAGGUAAAGGCUCACCAAGCCGACGAUCUGUAGCUGGUCUGAGAGGACGACCAGCCACACUGGGACUGAGACACGGCCCAGACUCCUACGGGAGGCAGCAGUGGGGAAUUUUGGACAAUGGGCGCAAGCCUGAUCCAGCAAUGCCGCGUGCAGGAUGAAGGCCUUCGGGUUGUAAACUGCUUUUGUACGGAACGAAACGGUGAGCUCUAAUACAGUUUGCUAAUGACGGUACCGUAAGAAUAAGCACCGGCUAACUACGUG
Molecule: ribosomal RNA, 491 nt
Filed under: uncultured bacterium
Lineage: Bacteria
Description: bacterial SSU rRNA
Rfam family: Bacterial small subunit ribosomal RNA
Source: RNAcentral